Molecule: unclassified non-coding RNA, 291 nt
Filed under: uncultured fungus
Lineage: Eukaryota; Fungi
Description: partial contains small subunit ribosomal RNA, internal transcribed spacer 1, and 5.8S ribosomal RNA
Rfam family: Eukaryotic small subunit ribosomal RNA (bases 1-73)
Source: RNAcentral
GCAAACUUGGUCAUUUAGAGGAAGUAAAAGUCGUAACAAGGUUUCCGUAGGUGAACCUGCGGAAGGAUCAUCACCGAUCGACCAAACAACCUGUUUCCACACAUCCCCAUCGAACGCCUCCCGCUCUCUGCCUCGCCCCGGCUCUCUCCUUGCGGGAGGGGCUGGUGGGGGGCAUGGAGGGGAGCAGAUUGGAGCCGCUGGUUGGCUGAAUGAAUGGAGCACGUUUGGGUGAGCAUGGAAACAACUUUCAACAACGGAUCUCUUGGCUCUCGCAUCGAUGAAGAACGCAGC